CACAUGACUCUCGGCAACGGAUAUCUUGGCUCUCGCAUCGAUGAAGAACGUAGCAAAAUGCGAUACCUGGUGUGAAUUGCAGAAUCCCGUGAACCAUCGAGUUUUUGAACGCAAGUUGCGCCCGAGGCCUUUUGGUCGAGGGCACGUCUGCCUGGGCGUCACGU
RNAcentral lists this ribosomal RNA (164 nucleotides) under Eleusine coracana (finger millet). RNAcentral describes it as "5.8S ribosomal RNA". It matches the Rfam family "5.8S ribosomal RNA". From Rfam's summary of the family: 5.8S ribosomal RNA (5.8S rRNA) is a component of the large subunit of the eukaryotic ribosome. The record is from RNAcentral. Lineage: Eukaryota; Viridiplantae; Streptophyta; Magnoliopsida; Poales; Poaceae. RNAcentral also lists the same sequence under 8 other names.